RNAcentral lists this long non-coding RNA (715 nucleotides) under Gallus gallus (chicken). RNAcentral describes it as "long non-coding RNA NONGGAT012088". Lineage: Eukaryota; Metazoa; Chordata; Aves; Galliformes; Phasianidae. The record is from RNAcentral.
UAUGAUGUCACUUUCUGUCUAUAGAAAAUUGAAGUUUUCAAACAGCAAAUGUUUCUUGCGCAGGCAUUAAUUAAACUUCACUCUCCUAAGAAGUGCUGAUGAACCAUAGUGAUGCUAACAAUUCAUUUCUUCAGAAACACAUGGAGAUCAGCUGCAGUAAGACUCUAGAAAGCUGCAAAGAACAGGAAGAUAUUCAUAGCUGCUCCUGUGCCAGGAUCUAGCCAUUGUGGAAUCAGGAGAAAAGAGAUUAUUGAGAAAGUUGUGAUCCUUGUCACCUUCUCAUAUACAUCACGUACACUGCUGCAGAGUCACCACUUUGUCUUCUCGACAGCAAGCAUUUGAGAGCCUGUACUCACAAAGAUAUAUUAUGUUGGUUUUCAAGUUAUUUAUUUAUUUUUUAAUAAACGUGUUUAUGCACAAGAAGUUCAGAGGCAUUAGAGUUUGUCUGAAAAUGUCAGUCCUUCUUCCACCUUCCCUUCCGUUCCUUCUUUCCUUCUUUUCUGGAGGUUUUUAUAUUACAGAAAUGAACACUCUGUCACAACAAAGGUGAGGAUAUAUCCAGAGCAGAUAUUAGCUGUGAGCUCUGGCAGCCACUGUCAGACGUUUAUUCUUCACUAACCUUCUCUGCAGGACCUAAUCGCAGGGUUCAGUUUCCUCCUGAAGUACGUCGUAUUUGUACAUUCCUAAGCUCAGACCCACGCAGGCAUGGACCUAC